UACGGAGGGAGCUAGCGUUGUUCGGAAUUAUUGGGCGUAAAGCGCGCGUAGGCGGCUUUGUAAGUUAGAGGUGAAAGCCUGGAGCUCAACUUCAGAAUUGCCUUUAAGACUGCAUCGCUUGAAUCCGGGAGAGGUGAGUGGAAUUCCGAGUGUAGAGGUGAAAUUCGUAGAUAUUCGGAAGAACACCAGUGGCGAAGGCGGCUCACUGGACCGGCAUUGACGCUGAGGUGCGAAAGCGUGGGGAGCAAACAGG
This 253-nucleotide ribosomal RNA is filed under the name uncultured bacterium. RNAcentral's name for it is "partial 16S ribosomal RNA". It matches the Rfam family "Bacterial small subunit ribosomal RNA", at positions 524 to 776 of the family's 1533-position model. The record is from RNAcentral.